RNAcentral lists this ribosomal RNA (1122 nucleotides) under Triticum aestivum (bread wheat). Its description in RNAcentral is "partial small subunit ribosomal RNA". The record is from RNAcentral. Lineage: Eukaryota; Viridiplantae; Streptophyta; Magnoliopsida; Poales; Poaceae.
AUGGCACCAUAUCCACUGAAUAAUGCUUCAAAUUCUUCCUAUAUGCUACUUCGAGUGUUGUUCUUUCGUUUGGUCCUUGGUCUUCAAGUUGAGUCUUCCCUUUCCAUGGAGAUAAUUGCCUUUUGGUUGUGGCUCCAACAAGGGAAUGGCCAAGUUGGUUACCUUCAGCACAUAUACUCUCUUGGUGACAACCAUUUUCGCGCAAUUGUUUCUUCUGCAAAACGUUUUCUGGAAGUUCUUCAUUUUGCAUUCGGUGGUUCAGAGGCCAGAUCUAUACCAAGAAGUGACUUUCAGAACCAAGCUAUUGAAGGAAUUUCUCUCUACCUCAAUACUAUCUGUUAUGAGGCCUUAGAAGAUCUUCGAGAAAGGAUAGAGAUGAAUUUUGUCCGUAAUCAGAUGACAUACCUACGUCGAGAAGCCUAUGGACAGUCCAGGACUGAUCGGGUUCCUACUGCAAGCUCGAUGACAGAUCUAUACCAAGAGGCCUAUGGAGAAUCAUCGCAUGAACAGAUUCCUAAUAUCUCAAUGACAGAUCUAUACCAAGAGGCCUAUGGAGAAUCAUCACAUGAACAGAUUCCUAAUAGCUCGAUGACAGAUCUAUACCAAGAGGCCUAUGGAGAAUCAUCGCAUGAACAAAUUCCUAAUAGCUCAAAACACCUUCUUACCAAGAUCAAGGCUUUGUAUGCAAACAAUCCGAAGCAUCAUGGAGAAGGCACAAGUUCUAGAAAUAUCCGUUUUCAAACAAGUCAAAUGCGUCAUGGAGAAGGCUCAAAUUCAAGAAAUAUCCAUCCUCAAACAAGUCGUAUGCUCCACCAUGAUACAGAGGACGAAGUAUAUGAUUAUCAGCCAACCUCCCGUUUGGUCACAUUGCUGGAUAAGUUGAGCUUAAGAGAGAACCAUAAUGAUGCAAUCACGCAAGACCUAUCUGAUGUUCCACCUGAUGAGAGAACUUUGUUCGUGACAUUUUCUAAUGGCUAUCCACUGACCAAGGAUGAACUACAUGAAUUUUUUAUGAGUAGUGGAGGCCUCUGGUUAAGAGCUACGACAUCGACACCACGGACCUACUCAGCUCUCGCUUCAGGGCUACGUCGAACUCUCUAUCACCAAGGGUGCAGGCUCUAG